This 3225-nucleotide long non-coding RNA is filed under the name Papio anubis (olive baboon). RNAcentral's name for it is "lncRNA (ENSPANG00000051399.1)". The record is from RNAcentral. Lineage: Eukaryota; Metazoa; Chordata; Mammalia; Primates; Cercopithecidae.
AUGGGGCGGGGCUUAUGCAAAACGUGUCGCCUUCGGGAGGCACAUAGUGAUACAAGAUCUGGGAGGCGGCUCCGGCGCGGACCUCGGAGAGCACAGCUGUCGGCCCGGGAGCCAGUCUCGGUCCCCGCGGCCCGCCGAGGCUCGGAGCCAUCCAGCGACCCGGCGAGCGGCCUCAGGCGGCAGCAACUGAAGAACCCACCCCUGGGCAGGAGACCGCCCACCUCAGUCCAGGCCCAUGGGUGCAGAGGAGGAGGCAGAGCUGCCUCCUUAUCCCCAGCUCAGGUGAGAACAACCAUUGCUCUGGCCCCCAACAUACACGCGUGCACACACACACGCACACAGAUGCACACACAUACAUCUGGGGGUGUGGUGGCGCUGGUGCUAGCUCCAGGCGCUGGUCACCCUCCCUUCUGUUUGGAUAUGGGUUGUCUGUCCAGCCCCAUGGCAAACUCCCACCUCCACAGAUAGCCCCUAGCCACUUUUCAUCAGGGAGCCCCUGCCCCCAAAGACAGCCUCCCCCUCCACAGAGCACUGCCUUCUCCUUGUCUCCAGACACUGUCCCCACUUACCACCCCUCAAGCUGACAGAGACCACAGCAUACCUGAGGGAGGGACAAUGCUCCUUCCCCAGUUUUUCUCCUCACAGACAGUCUCGACAGCCUUCCUCAGUGGCCCCCAGUGCAAGGCAGAGGCCCCAUAUUUGGCAACUCUCAUGCUGGUGGGAGGAUGAACCAAGGACACCACGCCCAGCAGACCACCCAUGCCCUGUCAGUCCAGUUGCUGCCAAGGCCCCAACCUCCAUACCUCCUCCCUCCCCGCUCACAGCCAGGCACCAAGUCCUCUCAUUCUGCCUGUCAAAUAUCUCUCUAAUUUGUAUGACUAUUUGCUCCCUCUCUCCAUCUUCCUGCUGCUCCGUGGGGACCCUGCCAAAGUGCCAUGUGGGCUGUGUUGCUCCUGGCCCUAAAGUGGACUGUACCUGGAGGGCAGAUGAGCUGGGUUCAAAUCUUGCACAGCCAAAGUUUGACUUUGGCCAAGUCACUUCCCUCUCUGAUCCUUCAUGAAAAUGGGGAGGGGUAUAAGAGAGAGGGUAGACUGGGUGAGAUGAACUUGAACAGCCUUCUGGUACUAAGACACCCUGGUUCUAUGGCUGAUUAUGGAAAAACAGAACCCUGAACCAAGAGGACAUUAAAGAGAGGAGGCCUGAGGGGGGCGGGGUUGGUUUAGAACUCACUGAAGGCACAUUCUUUCUUACCUAAGCCUAGGUACAGGCUACCUCCUCCUACACACUCUCUAGGCCCCUUCUAUUAGGAGUCCCUCCUAGACCACUAGCCCAUCCUGACAUGGACAGCUCCAAAUUGAAGGUGACCAUCAGGGCUUACUCUUUGUUUGUCAUCCCCUGCCUCUCAUUAAGAAGGAGAGGGAAAAGACCUGGUUGCUGCUGCUAUUGCUGCUGCUUGGGGAAGAGCAAAGGGAGGAGAGGAAAGAGAAAAUCUCCUGACCAGGGAGCUACUGUCACUAUGGCAACCGCCUCAGCACCGGCUCCUCUGAAGCUGGGUGAGGGUGUGGGAUUAUUGCUUCCUUCAGUCCCUCCCAUUCAAAGCCUCAGCCACCUCUCCAUUCAAGCCCCACAGCCCUUAGCCCUCUUGAAGAACCCUCUGGGCAUGCUGGGGCAGUGGUUUUGUGUAUGGGGCAGUCUCAGCUCCUUCACAGCUGGAGGAUAGCCCUCAAGAGGUAAGCAGAGGAGCCUGCCCAGGUUCAGCAGGGCCACAGCUCCAGCAGAGCAUUGUCCCCAGCUGGGUUCUGGCCUUCACUUUGCUGCUGAUGGGCUAUAGUUAACCUUGGGUGAACCCUUCCUUUCCCUAGGUCUGGGUUCCAUUGUCUCUGAAGUGGGUGUGAGAGCAGAAGAACGCAGAUAAACAAAACAGCCUGACAUAGAUCCAGGGAGGAAGAAGGGGGUUCUGCUCCUCUUAUGUAAUCCACCAAGAGACAUUCAUUGAACAUCACUGUGUCCUAGGCAUUGCCACUAUGUCUCCGCAGGGCAGUUCUGUGUAGGCACAGAAGGCAGGGUGGGAACCAGGGUAGGGGAGCUAUAAGAGAGAAAACCCCCUGCUCUUAUGGGUCCCAGACCCAGUGAGGACUAAGCAGUCACUGAGAGAAGUGAGUGCAUAGGGAAAAGCACUUUUAUUUCCCCCAUGGGAAAAAUAAACUUUUCUCACCCUUCAACCUGCUCAAAAGUGGACUGGGGCAUAUUGGAGGGGAUCAACUCCUUGCCAUUGAGCAAAAAGGUCUGGAGAGUUUUUUUUCUGACUCAGACAGGGGUUUAAUGCAAAGACCUGUCUCAAGUCAGACUGCAUCCUGGGAUUCUACAGGACCAGGUGAGGGUCAGAGAGCUCUGAAGUCUACAUGCUUGUGGGGGACUGACUCAUGCCCAAAGUGCUCAGCCCAGGCUGCUGACUCUCCACUGUCCAGACUGGAAAAGGCUGAUCAUAAGGAAGCAGGCUUCAACCAGGCCCUGAAGACUGAUUAUAGCCCAGGAGAGAAGAAAGGAUAUUAGGGGAGAGGAAAAUAGCUUAGCAAAGAGGUGAGGCGUGUCUGGCUGUGAGAAGGCUGGCUUGAGAGGAGUAUUUGGUGGUGAGGUAAGCAAUGAGAGCUGAGGCUAGAUAGGUGGGCACUUUGAGACCAGAUUCUAGAGGAUUCUGGAGUUUCAGGGGACCCAUGGGCAUGGCUACUUCUAGCCCAUAUUGUACCUUUUGGGGGGAAAAAGCCAUUCCCUCCUAACAGAGGAAUCAAAAGAAAGGCACUUCCUGCCAGGCAGGGAAGCCCCAUGGGCAAGAGCAUAGUUUGACUUCAGCCCCUCGGCUGUGUCACUGGCUAUGGACAUAAUGAAGGUACCAAGAGCAUUUCAAAAUAAGAGACAACAGGACUUGAUGGCAAGUUAGACCUAAGGCAAAGGGAAGAGAAAAAAUGAAGGUAGCUAAGAUUGUGUUCCCCAUACCCCAGGGAUGAGGGAGAGAAGGAAGGGGCAACAGAGACAGUCUGACCAUCUCUGGUUGGGAGCGAGUCUGGCUGUAGACUUGCUGGCUCAGAGGUGCUGGUGGGCACCCCUAGGGGUGACUAUCUCCUGGGUAUCAGAGAUUGUGGCCCCAGAUAUUUCCACUGGGGCCAAAAGGGAGAUCAGAGCUCUGAUUUUCCCAGAGGGCAGAUGUGGGUGGAAAAGGUCUGUGCU